Arvicanthis niloticus (Nile rat) is the source of this 1673-nucleotide non-coding RNA. The record is from RefSeq and is a predicted model, not a curated record. Lineage: Eukaryota; Metazoa; Chordata; Mammalia; Rodentia; Muridae.
GUGCUGGUCCAUGGACACCAUGCCAGUUUUUCAUGUGAUGUACCAGCCUCCAGUCCCAGAGCCAUGGGGGAGAUGAGGUAGCCUUUGGGUUUGAUUUGGGGAAGCCCAGUUCAAUGGAUACGAAGUACAAGGAUGACUUAUUCCGGAAGUACGUGCAGUUCCAUGAGGGCAAAGUGGACACCACCCCCAGCAAACAGCAGCCUGGCAGCGAUGAGUGAUGAGUACCUGCGCGUGGCAGCUGCCACCCUGCUCAGCCUGCACAAGGUGGACCCUUUGUAUCGAUUUCGGAUGAUUCAGUUUUAUGAGGUGGUGGAGAGCUCCCUCUGCUCACUGAGCAGCUCCAGCCUGAGUGCUCUCUCUGCACUGCGCCUUCAGCAUGCUGGAGACAGUGGCUAUCAACCUCUUCCUGUUCGCCUGGAAGAAGGAAUUCUGCAGCAUCAAGACCUACACUGGCCCCUUUGUUUACUAUGUCAAGUCCACGUUGCUGGAGAAGGACAUCCGAGCCAUUCUGAGGUUCAUGGGCUAUGAGCCAGAGUUGGGGACUGCGUACAAACUUACAGAGCUUGUGGAGUCCCUCCAGGUGAAGAUGGUCUCCUUUGAGCUCUUCCUGGCCAAGGUUGAGUGUGAGCAGACGCUAGGGAUCCACUCGCAGGUGAAGGACAAGGGCUACUCAGAGCUGGACAUGGUGACUGAGUGCAAGAGCAGCAUGGAGGAUGUGCCUGGGUGCUCAGAUGCCUUGCGGAGGCGGGCUGAGAGUCGGGAGCACCUGACCACUUCCGUGGCCCGUGUGGCACUCCAGAAGUCAGCCAGUGAGCGCGCAGCCAAGGACUACUACAAGCCCCGAGUGACCAAACCCUCCAGGUCGGUGGAUUCCUACGAUAGCUACUGGGAGAGCAGGAAGCCCCCCUCAAAGGCCUCACUGAGUCUGCGCAAGGAGCCCCUGGCCAUGGAUGUAGGGGAGGACUUGCAGGAUGAGAUCAUCUGCCUGUCCCCCUCAUUGUUGACCAUGUCCACCUCCCCCCAUGGUAGCCCUCAUGAUAUCCCCUCCAUCUCCCCCAUCAACGGCCUUGGCCUUCUUCGCAGUACGUACUUUUCCACUCAGGAUGACGUGGACCUGUAUACAGAUUCAGAACCCAGGGCUACCUACCGGAGGCAGGAUGCUUUGCAGCCGGAUGUAUGGCUGGUCAAAAAUGAUGCCCACUCCAUCUACCACAAGCGUUCACUCCCCACCAAAGAGUCUGCCCUCUCCUAGUGCCAAAACAGUGCAGCCUGUCCUGCAGCUCCUCCCUCUACCAGCGCUCUGACUGUGUACUGGUCUGUCUUUCGGCCUCCAAGUCUAACGCUUUCCCCAGCAAGGCCUCUGCACAUGACAGCUUGGCCCAUGAGGCACCUAUGUGGGAGAAGUAUGCGGGCCAGACUCAGGGCCUUGACCGGCUGGCACCUGUCCACUCAAAGCCCAAGCCUUCUACCAUAGCCACCUCCCUCUGUGGCUUCUGUAACUGUGCAGGUGCCACCAACACCUGUACCCAGUGUUCAAAAGUUUCCUGUGACGCCUGCUUCGGCGCCUUCCACUACGACCUGUGCUGCAGAAAAGAGUGAGCUGCACAAAUUCAUGGCCAACAAUCAGCUGAAUUACAAAUCCAGGCCAGCUCUCCCAUCUCGUAUACAGAUAG